This 511-nucleotide ribosomal RNA is filed under the name uncultured bacterium. Its description in RNAcentral is "bacterial SSU rRNA". It matches the Rfam family "Bacterial small subunit ribosomal RNA", at positions 8 to 507 of the family's 1533-position model. The record is from RNAcentral.
AGAGUUUGAUCAUGGCUCAGAGUGAACGCUGGCGGCAGGCCUAAUACAUGCAAGUCGAACGGCAGCACAGCAGAGCUUGCUCUGGUGGGUGGCGAGUGGCGGACGGGUGAGGAAUACAUGGGAAUCUGCCCAGUCGUGGGGGAUAACGUAGGGAAACUUACGCUAAUACCGCAUGCGCCCUUCGGGGGAAAGCCGGGGACCUUCGGGCCUGGCGCGAUUGGAUGAGCCCAUGUCGGAUUAGCUAGUUGGCGGGGUAAUGGCCCACCAAGGCGACGAUCCGUAGCUGGUCUGAGAGGGUGAUCAGCCACACUGGAACUGAGACACGGUCCAGACUCCUACGGGAGGCAGCAGUAGGGAAUAUUGGACAAUGGGCGCAAGCCUGAUCCAGCCAUGCCGCGUGAGUGAAGAAGGCCCUCGGGUUGUAAAGCUCUUUUGUCCGGAAAGAAAAGCGCCGGGUUAAUACCCUAGUGUCCUGACGGUACCGGAAGAAUAAGCACCGGCUAACUUCGUG